Molecule: ribosomal RNA, 489 nt
Filed under: uncultured bacterium
Lineage: Bacteria
Description: bacterial SSU rRNA
Rfam family: Bacterial small subunit ribosomal RNA
Source: RNAcentral
AUUGAACGCUGGCGGCAUGCCUUACACAUGCAAGUCGAACGGCAGCGGACCUUCGGGUGCCGGCGAGUGGCGAACGGGUGAGUAAUAUAUCGGAACGUACCUUUCAGUGGGGGAUAACGUAGCGAAAGUUACGCUAAUACCGCAUAUUCUGUGAGCAGGAAAGCAGGGGAUCGCAAGACCUUGCGCUGAUUGAGCGGCCGAUAUCAGAUUAGCUAGUUGGUGAGGUAAAGGCUCACCAAGGCGACGAUCUGUAGCGGGUCUGAGAGGAUGAUCCGCCACACUGGAACUGAGACACGGUCCAGACUCCUACGGGAGGCAGCAGUGGGGAAUUUUGGACAAUGGGCGCAAGCCUGAUCCAGCCAUGCCGCGUGAGUGAAGAAGGCCCUCGGGUUGUAAAGCUCUUUCGGCCGGGAAGAAAUCGCACGGGUUAAUACCCUGUGUGGAUGACGGUACCGGAAUAAGAAGCACCGGCUAACUACGUGCCAGCAG